GCCUUCGUGGUGUAGUGGUCAGUACGCUCGGCGCAUAUUCGAGAGAUUUGAGGUUCAAAUCCCGACGAUGGCA
RNAcentral lists this transfer RNA (73 nucleotides) under Stegodyphus mimosarum. It matches the Rfam family "tRNA". Rfam says of the family: Transfer RNA (tRNA) molecules are approximately 80 nucleotides in length. The record is from Rfam by way of RNAcentral. Lineage: Eukaryota; Metazoa; Arthropoda; Arachnida; Araneae; Eresidae.